This 428-nucleotide ribosomal RNA is filed under the name uncultured archaeon. Its description in RNAcentral is "bacterial SSU rRNA". It matches the Rfam family "Archaeal small subunit ribosomal RNA", at positions 474 to 903 of the family's 1478-position model. The record is from RNAcentral.
UACCUGCAGCUCGAGUGGUGAUCGUUAUUAUUGGGCCUAAAACGUCCGUAGCCGGUCUUAUAAAUGCCUGGGUAAAUCGUAUGGCUUGACCAUACGAAUUCCGGGUAGACUGUUUGACUUGAGACCGGGAGAAGCUAGAGGUACUCCUUGGGUAGAGGUGAAAUUCUGUAAUCCUAGGGGGACCACCAGUGGCGAAGGCGUCUAGCUAGAACGGGUCUGACGGUGAGGGACGAAGCCCUGGGGCGCAAACGGGAUUAGAUACCCCGGUAGUCCAGGGUGUAAACGCUGCUUGCUUGAUGUUAGUCUGGCUCCGAGCCAGAUUAGUGUCGGAGAGAAGUUGUUAAGCAAGCUGCCUGGGAGGUACGGCCGCAAGACUGAAACUUAAAGGAAUUGGCGGGGAGCACCACAAGGCGUGAAGCUUGCGGUUC